RNAcentral lists this ribosomal RNA (254 nucleotides) under uncultured bacterium. Its description in RNAcentral is "partial 16S ribosomal RNA". It matches the Rfam family "Bacterial small subunit ribosomal RNA", at positions 524 to 776 of the family's 1533-position model. The record is from RNAcentral.
UACAGAGACUGCAAGCGUUAUUCGGAUUCACUGGGCGUAAAGGGCGCGUAGGCGGUCAGCACAAGUCAGUUGUGAAAUCUCCGGGUUAUACUCGGAAAGGUCAACUGAUACUGUGCGACUAGAGUGCAGAAGGGGCAACUGGAAUUCUCGGUGUAGCGGUGAAAUGCGUAGAUAUCGAGAGGAACACCUGCGGCGAAGGCGGGUUGCUGGGCUGACACUGACGCUGAGGCGCGAAAGCCAGGGGAGCAAACGGG